This 800-nucleotide ribosomal RNA is filed under the name uncultured bacterium. RNAcentral's name for it is "bacterial SSU rRNA". It matches the Rfam family "Bacterial small subunit ribosomal RNA", at positions 54 to 840 of the family's 1533-position model. The record is from RNAcentral.
CAUGCAAGUCGAACGAGAAGGGGGCUUCGGUCCCUGGAAAGUGGCGCACGGGUGAGUAACGCGUGGAUAAUCUACCUAGCGGUCUGGGAUAACAUCUCGAAAGGGGUGCUAAUACCGGAUAAGCCCACGAGGUCUACGGAUCUAGCGGGAAAAGGGGGGGACCUUCGGGCCUUCUGCCACUGGAUGAGUCCGCGUACCAUUAGCUAGUUGGUGGGGUAAUGGCCCACCAAGGCUACGAUGGUUAGCUGGUCUGAGAGGGUGAUCGGCCACACUGGAACUGAGACACGGUCCAGACUCCUACGGGAGGCAGCAGUGAGGAAUAUUGGUCAAUGGGCGCAAGCCUGAACCAGCCAUCCCGCGUGAAGGAAGACGGCCCUAUGGGUUGUAAACUUCUUUUGUACAUGAAGAAAGGGACCUACGGGUAGGUUCGUGACGGUAAUGUACGAAUAAGCACCGGCUAACUCCGUGCCAGCAGCCGCGGUAAUACGGAGGGUGCAAGCGUUGUCCGGAUUUAUUGGGCGUAAAGCGUGCGCAGGCGGUUUUUUAAGAUAGGCGUGAAAUCCCCGGGCUCAACCUGGGAACUGCGCUUAUGACUGGAAGACUAGAGUAUGGCAGAGGGGGGUGGAAUUCCACGUGUAGCAGUGAAAUGCGUAGAGAUGUGGAGGAACACCGAUGGCGAAGGCAGCCCCCUGGGCCAAUACUGACGCUCAUGCACGAAAGCGUGGGGAGCAAACAGGAUUAGAUACCCUGGUAGUCCACGCCCUAAACGAUGUCAACUGGUUGUUGGGAAGGUUCCUUCU